Molecule: ribosomal RNA, 254 nt
Filed under: uncultured bacterium
Lineage: Bacteria
Description: partial 16S ribosomal RNA
Rfam family: Bacterial small subunit ribosomal RNA
Source: RNAcentral
GACGAAGGGGGGCUAGCGUUGUUCGGAAUACUGGGCGUAAAGCGCGUGUAGGCGGUUGUUCAAGUCAGGUGUGAAAGCCUUGAGCUCAACUCAAGAAAAUGCACUUGAUACUGGAUGACUAGAGGACCGGAGAGGAUAGUGGAAUUCCUGGUGUAGCGGUGAAAUGCGUAGAUAUCAGGAGGAAUACCGGUGGCGAAAGCGACUCUCUGGACGGCAACUGACGCUGAGGCACGAAAGCGUGGGGAGCAAACAGG